Molecule: non-coding RNA, 258 nt
Organism: Paramuricea clavata
Lineage: Eukaryota; Metazoa; Cnidaria; Anthozoa; Malacalcyonacea; Plexauridae
Source: the annotation of a GenBank genome assembly
CAGUGGUUCCCGUAAUAGUAGGUCUCAUUUUGUUUCCGGUUUGUUCCUAGCAACAUCAAAAGUUCCUAGCAACAGUCAACCAGCAUCAGUGGAUAAGUGUUCGGCUGUUUCACUCCCCUCUUUAUUUUUAUUUUUCCCCCGCCGUAUUUUAAAUUUCGGAUCUUUCUCGGUCGCCCUUCGCAGUAUCAUCGUGUAACGCAAGUUAAUCCCCGAGCCGGCGGCGCGAAGCGCCGUGCGAGGGUACUAAUUCCCCCCGGC